AUGUACGUCGUCGGCGACGCGACGGCGCCUUUCUUCGUUGUUGGCUUUUGGGCGCUGUUCGUGAGAGUGUGCAUGGGCUUGCCCACGCGCGUCAGGAGAGCCGCCAGCUUCCUCUUCGUGACCUCCCGGCCGUCCGCGGCCGUCGGCGCGCCCUUCCACCGCGCCGGCCCUGCCACGCCCUGGUGGCAGAGCGCCAGCGGGCGCGGCGCGACGGCGGCCUUGGACCUGCCCCGGCGCGCGGCCGAGCGGAGGCAGCCGGCCAGGGAGCGCGCGGACCGCUGCGCGGCCGCGGCGAGCAGCCUGGUGGCGCGCCACGGCAGGACGGUGAUGGCGGCCGAGGCGGAGGACUCCUUCCGGGCGAGCUUGAGGAUCUCGAGGCGGUGCUUGGCGACGGCGACGCCCAUGGUGGCGAGGAAGGCGUGGUCGAGGUGGCGGACGUCGGCGGCGCCGAGCUCGUUGCGCGCGAAGAGGAGCGCGUACUCGGCGGCCAGGUCCUCGCCGAGCCCCGCCCUGCGCAGCCACUCGUACCAGUCCAUCCCUCCCUCGCUCGCUCCCUAG
RNAcentral lists this ribosomal RNA (558 nucleotides) under Triticum aestivum (bread wheat). RNAcentral describes it as "partial small subunit ribosomal RNA". Lineage: Eukaryota; Viridiplantae; Streptophyta; Magnoliopsida; Poales; Poaceae. The record is from RNAcentral.